This 507-nucleotide ribosomal RNA is filed under the name uncultured bacterium. Its description in RNAcentral is "bacterial SSU rRNA". It matches the Rfam family "Bacterial small subunit ribosomal RNA", at positions 30 to 526 of the family's 1533-position model. The record is from RNAcentral.
AUUGAACGCUAGCGGCAUGCUUAACACAUGCAAGUCGAACGGCAGCGCGAGGAGCUUGCUCCUUGGCGGCGAGUGGCGGACGGGUGAGUAACGCGUAGGAAUCUACCUUAUAGUGGGGGACAACUCGGGGAAACUCGAGCUAAUACCGCAUAAUCUCUAAGGAGGAAAGUGGGGGAUCUUCGGACCUCACGCUAUUAGAUGAGCCUGCGUCGGAUUAGCUUGUUGGUGAGGUAAUGGCUCACCAAGGCGACGAUCCGUAGCUGGUCUGAGAGGAUGAUCAGCCACACUGGGACUGAGACACGGCCCAGACUCCUACGGGAGGCAGCAGUGGGGAAUAUUGGACAAUGGGCGAAAGCCUGAUCCAGCAAUGCCGCGUGUGUGAAGAAGGCCUUCGGGUUGUAAAGCACUUUCAGCGGGGAAGAAAAUCCUAAGAAUAAUACUCUUAGGCCUUGACGUUACCCGCAGAAGAAGCACUGGCUAACUCUGUGCCAGCCGCCGCCGUAACAC